AGCUCCAAUAGCGUAUAUUAAAGUUGUUGCAGUUAAAAAGCUCGUAGUUGAACCUUGGGCUUGGUUGGCCGGUCCGCUUUAUGGCGAGUACUGGACCCAACCGAGCCUUUCCUUCUGGCUAACCUUUCGCCCUUGUGGUGUUUGGAGAACCAGGACUUUUACUUUGAAAAAAUUAGAGUGUUCAAAGCAGGCCUUUGCUCGAAUAUAUUAGCAUGGAAUAAUAGAAUAGGACGUUAUGGUUCUAUUUUGUUGGUUUCUAGGACCAUCGUAAUGAUUAAUAGGGACGGUCGGGGGCAUCAGUAUUCAGUUGUCAGAGGUGAAAUUCUUGGAUUUACUGAAGACUAACUACUGCGAAAGCAUUUGCCAAGGACGUUUUCA
Molecule: ribosomal RNA, 378 nt
Filed under: uncultured eukaryote
Lineage: Eukaryota
Description: SSU rRNA
Rfam family: Eukaryotic small subunit ribosomal RNA
Source: RNAcentral